Molecule: ribosomal RNA, 497 nt
Filed under: uncultured bacterium
Lineage: Bacteria
Description: partial 16S ribosomal RNA
Rfam family: Bacterial small subunit ribosomal RNA
Source: RNAcentral
GAUGAACGCUGGCGGCGUGCCUAAUACAUGCAAGUUGAGCGAACAGAUAAGGAGCUUGCUCCUUUGACGUUAGCGGCGGACGGGUGAGUAACACGUGGAUAACCUACCUAUAAGACUGGGAUAACUUCGGGAAACCGGAGCUAAUACCGGAUAACAUAUUGAACCGCAUGGUUCAAUAGUGAAAGGCGGCUUUGCUGUCACUUAUAGAUGGAUCCGCGCCGUAUUAGCUAGUUGGUAAGGUAACGGCUUACCAAGGCAACGAUACGUAGCCGACCUGAGAGGGUGAUCGGCCACACUGGAACUGAGACACGGUCCAGACUCCUACGGGAGGCAGCAGUAGGGAAUCUUCCGCAAUGGGCGAAAGCCUGACGGAGCAACGCCGCGUGAGUGAUGAAGGUCUUCGGAUCGUAAAACUCUGUUAUCAGGGAAGAACAAAUGUGUAAGUAACUGUGCACAUCUUGACGGUACCUAAUCAGAAAGCCACGGCUAACUACGUG